RNAcentral lists this ribosomal RNA (590 nucleotides) under uncultured Bacteroidota bacterium. RNAcentral describes it as "bacterial SSU rRNA". It matches the Rfam family "Bacterial small subunit ribosomal RNA", at positions 65 to 640 of the family's 1533-position model. The record is from RNAcentral. Lineage: Bacteria; Pseudomonadati; Bacteroidota.
AACGCUACGCCGCUAUAACCGCAGUCAACGGUGCUUCGGGCAUAGUGGCGCACGGGUGCGUAACACGUAUGCAACCUACCUUACAUUGGGGGAUAGCCUUUCGAAAGGGAGAUUAAUACCGCAUAACACAGUGAGUUGGCAUCAGCUUAUUGUUAAAGAUUUAUCGAUGUAAGAUGGGCAUGCGUCCAAUUAGUUAGUUGGCGAGGUAACGGCUCACCAAGACGAUGAUUGGUAGGGGAACUGAGAGGUCAAUCCCCCACACUGGCACUGAGAUACGGGCCAGACUCCUACGGGAGGCAGCAGUAGGGAAUAUUGGGCAAUGGACGCAAGUCUGACCCAGCCAUGCCGCGUGCAGGAAGACGGCCCUCUGGGUUGUAAACUGCUUUUAUAUAGGAAGAAAGAAUCCUUGCGAGGAUAGUUGACGGUACUAUAAGAAUAAGCACCGGCUAACUCCGUGCCAGCAGCCGCGGUAAUACGGAGGGUGCAAGCGUUGUCCGGAUUUAUUGGGUUUAAAGGGUGCGCAGGUGGUUUAUUAAGUCAGUGGUGAAAGACGGUCGCUUAACGAUUGCAGUGCCAUUGAUACUGGUAGA